CAAUAGCGUAUAUUAAAGUUGUUGCGGUUAAAAAGCUCGUAGUUGGAGUUCUGCCAGGUGACACUCGUCCGCCCAAGUGGUGUGUACAGGGUGUGCAUCUGGCCCUUUCAAGGGGAACGUGUCUGCACUUCAUUGUGUGGUGCGAGAUCCUUGACUUUUACUUUGAGGAAAUAAGAGUGUUCCAAGCAGGCUCUCGUCGUGCAUAGCUCAGCAUGGAAUAAUAGCAUUGGACUUCGUUUCUACGCUGUUGGUUGCAAGAAGCGAGGUAAUGAUGAAGAGGGAUAGUUGGGGGCAUUCGUAUUUAACUGUCAGAGGUGAGAUUCUUGGAUUUGUUAAAGACGGACUACUGCGAAAGCAUCUGCCAUGGAUGUUUUCAUUGA
Molecule: ribosomal RNA, 380 nt
Filed under: uncultured eukaryote
Lineage: Eukaryota
Description: partial 18S ribosomal RNA
Rfam family: Eukaryotic small subunit ribosomal RNA
Source: RNAcentral